Molecule: long non-coding RNA, 1710 nt
Organism: Oncorhynchus masou masou (cherry salmon)
Lineage: Eukaryota; Metazoa; Chordata; Actinopteri; Salmoniformes; Salmonidae
Exons: 2
Source: RefSeq, a predicted model, not a curated record
GUGAUGCAUCCAGAACACCUCUACUACGGAUCCUUCCCCUCACUCUGAUGCAUCCAGAACACCCAGAACGGAUCCUUCCCCUCACUCUGAUGCAUCCAGAACACCUCUACUACGGAUCCUUCCCCUCACUCUGAUGCAUCCAGAACACCCAGAGCGGAUCCUUCCCUUCACUCUGAUGCAUCCAGAACACCCAGAACGGAUCCUUCCCCUCACUCUGAUGCAUCCAGAACACCCAGAACGGAUCCUUCCCUUCACUCUGAUGCAUCCAGAACACCCAGAACGGAUCCUUCCCCUCACUGUGAUGCAUCCAGAACACCCAGAACGGAUCCUUCCCCUCACUGUGAUGCAUCCAGAACACCCAGAGCGGAUCCUUCCCCUCACUGUGAUGCAUCCAGAACACCCAGAACAGAUCCUUCCCCUCACUGUGAUGCAUCCAGAACACCCAGAACGGAUCCUUCCCCUCACUGCGAUGCAUCCAGAACACCCAGAACGGAUCUUUCCCCUCACUCUGAUGCAUCCAGAACACCCAGAACGGAUCCUUCCCCUCACUCUGAUGCAUCCAGAACACCUCUACUACGGAUCCUUCCUCUCACUCUGAUGCAUCCAGAACACCCAGAACGGAUCCUUCCCUUCACUCUGAUGCAUCCAGAACACCCAGAACGGAUCCUUCCCUUCACUCUGAUGCAUCCAGAACACCCAGAACGGAUCCUUCCCCUCACUCUGAUGCAUCCAGAACACCCAGAACGGAUCCUUCCCCUCACUCUGAUGCAUCCAGAACACCCAGAACGGAUCCUUCCCCUCACUCUGAUGCAUCCAGAACACCCAGAACGGAUCCUUCCCCUCACUGUGAUGUCCAAUCUUCAAAAACAAAGAAGACAACAGCUGCCAGUGUUUUAGCAUGUUGUAGAACAAGCACUGUUCUGAAUGAUAUCAAUUGUCUUUUCUUGUGACAGAUUCAAGAUAAUACAGAAUAAUACAGGUAGUCUACUGGUAAAUUAAUACAGAAUAAUACAGGUAGUCUACUGGUAAAUUAAUACAGAAUAAUACAGGUAGCCUACUGGUAAAUUAAUACAGAAUAAUACAGGUAGCCUACUGGUAAAUUAAUACAGAAUAAUACAGGAAGCCUACUGGUAAAUUAAUACAGAAUAAUACAGGAAGCCUACUGGUAAAUUAAUACAGAAUAAUACAGGAAGCCUACUAGUAAAUUAAUACAGAAUAAUACAGGAAGCCUACUGGUAAAUUAAUACAGAAUAAUACAGGUAGCCUACUGGUAAAUUAAUACAGAAUAAUACAAGUAGCCUACUGGUAAAUUAAUACAGAAUAAUACAGGUAGUCUACUGGUAAAUUAAUACAGAAUAAUACAGGAAGCCUACUGGUAAAUUAAUACAGAAUAAUACAGGUAGCCUACUGGUAAAUUAAUACAGAAUAAUACAAGUAGCCUACUGGUAAAUUAAUACAGAAUUAAUACAGGAAGCCUACUGGUAAAUUAAAGUGUAUCUAUUUGAAAAAGCAGGCGAAGGCUCAAUGUUCAAGACUGUGUUGUGAAUGAUGCUUAUAUUUUUCUCGUUGUGUUUUGUUGGCCUGGGCGCAUAGCUGGCUAUUGGGCAAUUUGCAUGUAAGUGUAGUACUGUAUUGUACAUGAGGUGAGUUGCUGUUUUUAAUAUUAUAUGAUGAUGUUUAACAAUGAUAAUUAAAUCAAGAAUAGUGGCA